GACGAACGCUGGCGGCGUGCUUAACACAUGCAAGUCGAACGGAAAGGCCCUGCUUUUGUGGGGUGCUCGAGUGGCGAACGGGUGAGUAACACGUGAGUAACCUGCCCUUGACUUUGGGAUAACUUCAGGAAACUGGGGCUAAUACCGGAUAGGAGCUCCUGCUGCAUGGUGGGGGUUGGAAAGUUUCGGCGGUUGGGGAUGGACUCGCGGCUUAUCAGCUUGUUGGUGGGGUAGUGGCUUACCAAGGCUUUGACGGGUAGCCGGCCUGAGAGGGUGACCGGCCACAUUGGGACUGAGAUACGGCCCAGACUCCUACGGGAGGCAGCAGUGGGGAAUAUUGCACAAUGGGCAGAAGCCUGAUGCAGCAACGCCGCGUGCGGGAUGACGGCCUUCGGGUUGUAAACCGCUUGCGCCUGUGACGAAGCGUGAGUGACGGUAAUGGGUAAAGAAGCACCGGCUAACUACGUG
Molecule: ribosomal RNA, 468 nt
Filed under: uncultured bacterium
Lineage: Bacteria
Description: partial 16S ribosomal RNA
Rfam family: Bacterial small subunit ribosomal RNA
Source: RNAcentral